AACGAACGCUGGCGGCAUGCCUAACACAUGCAAGUCGAACGAGACCUUCGGGUCUAGUGGCGCACGGGUGCGUAACGCGUGGGAACCUGCCCUUAGGUUCGGAAUAACUCCCCGAAAGGGGUGCUAAUACCGGAUAAUGUCUUCGGACCAAAGAUUUAUCGCCUUUGGAUGGGCCCGCGUUGGAUUAGCUAGUUGGUAGGGUAAAAGCCUACCAAGGCGACGAUCCAUAGCUGGUCUGAGAGGAUGAUCAGCCACACUGGGACUGAGACACGGCCCAGACUCCUACGGGAGGCAGCAGUGGGGGAUAUUGGACAGUGGGCGAAAGCCUGAUCCAGCAAUGCCGCGUGAGUGAUGAAGGCCUUGGGGUUGUAAAGCUCUUUUACCCGGGAUGAUAAUGACAGUACCGGGAGAAUAAGCUCCGGCUAACUCCGUG
This 433-nucleotide ribosomal RNA is filed under the name uncultured bacterium. RNAcentral describes it as "partial 16S ribosomal RNA". It matches the Rfam family "Bacterial small subunit ribosomal RNA", at positions 29 to 507 of the family's 1533-position model. The record is from RNAcentral.